RNAcentral lists this ribosomal RNA (460 nucleotides) under uncultured bacterium. RNAcentral's name for it is "partial 16S ribosomal RNA". It matches the Rfam family "Bacterial small subunit ribosomal RNA", at positions 338 to 795 of the family's 1533-position model. The record is from RNAcentral.
CCUACGGGAGGCAGCAGUGAGGAAUAUUGGUCAAUGGGCGCAAGCCUGAACCAGCCAAGUCGCGUGAGGGAUGACGGUCCUAUGGAUUGUAAACCUCUUUUGUCGGGGAGCAAGGCCCGCCACGUGUGGCGGGAAGGAGAGUACCCGAAGAAAAAGCAUCGGCUAACUCCGUGCCAGCAGCCGCGGUAAUACGGAGGAUGCGAGCGUUAUCCGGAUUUAUUGGGGUUAAGGGGUGCGUAGGCGGAAGGUUAAGUCAGCGGUCAAAUGUCGGUGCUCAACACCGGCCUGCCGUUGAAACUGGUCGUCUUGAGUGGGCGAGAAGUAUGCGGAAUGCGUGGUGUAGCGGUGAAAUGCAUAGAUAUCACGCAGAACUCCGAUUGCGAAGGCAGCAUACCGGCGCUCAACUGACGCUGAGGCACGAAAGCGUGGGGAUCGAACAGGAUUAGAUACCCCAGUAGUC